UUUUGUUGUUUUUUGGAACAUGGCGGCAAAGGAGUGAACGUGUUUAAAUUUUGCUCUAUUGAUCUCAUGAAAACUCGCUCGAUGUUACAUCUAAGACAUGAAAUGGUAUAUUCAGCAUAUUUUCCUGUACUGGAAGUUAAUAAAACGUCUCCACGGCGUUUUAAACAACAACAACGUGCUUCGAACUCUGGAGGUGUAUACUUCGAAUGCAGAAGCCAAGAAGGUACGAAUAUUUUAACUGCUUCAGUUCUGUUUUUAUGUGGCUAGAUCUUAAAAAUAAUUCCGUCAAUAGCAACAUAUAUGCCUAAACUUUGUGUCUUUUCUGCAUCGAUUUGAUCUUGGCCUCAGAUAUUUGUAUUUUGCCUUUUGAAGUGAGCGACCUUUCUUCGACUUUAAAAGCCCCAUUGUCGUUCGCUCCCACAAAUUAUCCUGCAAAUACACCUUGAAAUUAUGUUGAUUUCACAAAAAAAUUAUUGCAUGUGAAAGAGUGUUAUCGUAUGCCCAAAUAAAUCUCAAUUUAUGCAUGUAUUGAAGCGUACUGUGUUGAUAAACGUCCAUUUUCCUUCUGCAAACAUUAUUAUUGUAUGUCAUUUUUCGCGCCAACUUACAAAAUCGAUUCACCUUGGAUAUUUUAGAUAUUUUUACGUUUAAACCAAUUGGCGCACUGUGGGACUUAUAGUACAUUGUAGUACAGUCUUUGAGGAUAAAAACAGUGCCUGUUUGAAGAAAUUUUAGGUGAAUGGUCCUCGCACAAUUUUUAAAAGUAAAUGUUUUAGUUUCCCAUUUUCCUCACUUUUUGCUAAAAUAGAUGGCUUUUGUUUUGAUUGUUUUAAAAUACUCUACCUAAUGGUUAAACAUUAAUAGGUUUCCUAACUAUGUAGCUUUGUAAUCAAGUACCAUUAUAAUGCUGGCCAAAAUCUGGAAGAAAACUCUGAAAAAAAAAUUAUGAAAUUUUUUGAUCAUGAAAAUGUUGAUUUUCUGCCAAGUGGGCAAAAGAAUGACUGAAAGGCUUUACAAAAUUGCAAAAAUAAUGCUUAAUAUUGAUUGGCACACCGCAAGGUGUAUCUACGCUUGAAGUUUAUGUAUUACACUUCAAAGUUAAUAUGGUUUGGGAAAAUUUUAGGUGCAUGGUCCUCGCAGAAUUUAGCCAUUUUCAUCGGCUUUUCUUUUCGAGUUUUAUUGCAUUUAAUUAAGGUGGCUCUAUGAUGUUUUGCAAGCUGUAAGGAAAUAUGUGCUGAAAAUGCAGUAGUCUUCAUGAUUAUAAAUCACUAUGGAUAUCAAAACUUUUCUAAAGUGUAUUUUAGCAUUUAGGGGCUGUUUACAUGAGCCUGGCUAGCCACUUGUAGCCGGGCUGGCCCGGUUAACUGAGGCGCCCGGCUUAUUACAAAUUCUUUAACAAAACAAUUUUAGUUUAUAUGUCUAGCCCGCCUAGCCGAGAUCUCACUCGAGUCAAACAGGGCGCCCAGCUAACCGGGCAGAAAUUUUCCCAUGUAAGGUCACCAGCCCGGGUAACCGGGCUAGCGAAAAAACUUCUGUACAAGCUACAAUAUCGAUUUGAAUUAGUACUUUUUGGACAAAUAGUUAUUUCUUAAGUUGUUCUUAACAUGCAUUUGGCUUGUGUGACAAAUCCCCCCCCCGCCAUAUUUGGCUUGAUAUUUAAAGUUUCAGCCCUGUUGAUUGGGCUAGCCAGGCUCAUGUAAACAGCCCCUUAAUGGAUUUGUACACUAUAUGUCACAUGUGGUUGCUAUGGUAAUCUGAAUUCAUUUGCUAAUUAUUUUCUAACAAGAUUAUAUUUUGUAUUGAUUUCUUUCCCUGCUUUUGCUAACAUUAGAGCACUUUUCAUUAGCCCUUAGUGUUCCUAGCACAUACAUCAGUCCUUGUCAUAAGCAGACAAAUAAUUUUCCUAAAAAAUUCCUUUUUUUAUCAAUUUCUUCAGGAUCAUUGCAAUGGUAACAUAAUUAACCCACUAAGCUGCAGAGCUAGCAUUAUGUGGAACUAGCAAAACCAGUAAGUGGGAUGAAUUUGUUUUGUUUAUAUGUCAGAAAGUUUCAUAUAGGAAAGCUGUCACCUCUCGUCAGUGGCGUGCUGGGUACUAUUUUUCUGGGGGGGCCAGUCGGCUGGCAACCAAUAUGCGCCCCUAUAAUAUUACGCUUGAUAAACGAGGGCCGACGGCACGAACCGAGCGCCGCAGGUGCGAGGUUUGUCUAAGGGAGUCCGGGGGCAUGCCCCCAGGAAAAUUUUUGAAUUUAGAGUCUCUGAAAAGCCAUUUCCUGGACUUUGGGGGAAGAUUUGACAGAAAUCUGAUGGUCAGGAAACGGCAUUACAACGUGUCGAAAUUUGCAAAUUGGUUAGAAUUUAGUAGUAGUAGUACUUAAAUUGGGCAAUGUUAACUACUUCCAGCAAUUAAUCUAAUCCCAAUUCUAUUCUCUACUGAUCUGAAUACAUUGACAACUUGCAGCUCUUUUAUACAAUAACACACAGACCCCACGCAUAUUCAUUUUAAGGUUUUCUUGCCUGUCUGCCAAAAGGGCGCGUUUCAGCAUUAUAUCUCGUUACUUACAUUACUCAUGAUGUUUCUUGCGCAAACAACUAAAUUGCGUACACAACUUUACAUUAUCAUAACUUCAACUAUCUAAUUUGCGUCGCUCUCGUGAUUCGUGAAGCAUAAUAAAGGGCAUAAUAUAAGGGUAUAAUACCAGCAAAAAAGGGCAUAAUUCCCGUGAUCGCUUAUUCGCUUCGAAGCCUGAUCAAUAUUCCGGUAAUGAGACAUUGCGUGUGAUCACUAAUCAUGUUUCUAUAUGAACGAGUGAUUUCGUGUGAAUCAUCAGUAGCAAAUACGGUUGGACAAAACAGUCUGCAAUUUAAUAUACUCACUUUGUCGCCUAUGCGCUUAGUCUGUUUAUAAGUCUAUAAACACAUCUUUCCUUGGCGGAAUUAGUAACUAUAUUUUUUCGAAUGCGUUUCUUCCCACCCACUUUCAAAAUUCGGCGCGGGAUCGGCGCCCCCUUUUCAUUUUUGCGCCCCCCAAAAAUUGCCAGCUGGGGGGCCGUGGCCCCCCGGCCCCCCCUGCCAGCACGCCACUGCCACUCGUCUUUGAUCAAAAUUACCUUUGCUUACCUCAGGAUGAAGUAAAAAUAGUUUUUUCUGAGAAUAGGCCCUUCCAAGGUUAAGGAUGCCGUCUUGAAUAUAUUGUUUUCACCAUUGUGUUUGUACCCCUUGCAAAUUUACCUCUCCUAUAGGGAAUUCCAUUGUGUUUGCACCCCUUGUACUAUUGUUUCAUUAUGGUAUUGUCAACCUUGGAAGGGUCUAUUGCUUUCAGUUAUGGAGACUUAACACCAUAUACUGAGUUGAUUUGAGUUCAUUAACCCUUUAAGUGGCAAUGUACCCCAUUGUGCCUUACUUUAGUAUUUUACUCUGUCUAAUGCCAGAUGAUUUUACUCAACAUCGGGUUUGAGCAAUUCAAACAGUGAUAGUACUUAAAAAAGGCCUGUGCUGUACAUAGUGAUAUCUCUCUUAUCAGGCAAACCCAGCUUUUGCAGGAAAAUCUCCCAUGUUUGAACCUCUUUCAACAUACUGCUCUUAUUAAUUUCAUUGGGAAAAAAAACAUAGGUGGGCAUGGCCAGGAACCAAUUAGAUCAUGUAUAUACAUUGUAAUAAAUUUUCAAAAAAUAUCAGAUUUUCUAAGAAGAUCUUUUCUUGCAGGCUAUUAAGAAAACAUGAAACGAAACAAGAUGAAAUGAAUAUUUAUUAAAUUACAGAUUGUGAUACAAAUUUAAUUGUGAUACAAAUUUAUCUAUUGUGUGGAUAUUACAAAAAGUUUAUAGGAUGUACAAAAUACUCUGCAAUGUACCAACAUCUGUCAUCAUAAUCAUAUCUUCAAGGUUGUAAAAGUAAUAUUGCAGAGAUCUGUAAAAAAUAUACUUUCAUUGUUAACUUAGAGGGAAAGAAGUAUUCUUUUGUGUAGCAGUGGGAUGGAUUUACUUGGGGGUAUUGGGGGAGGCGGUUCUUCGUGAAAUAAAGUAUUGGGUCUUUAUGACUUUAUAGACAACUUUGAUUUCCAAAAAUUGACAUGCCUGUCUGGGGUCCAUAGUGAUGAUGCAUCCUACCUCAGUUGUUGGUCAGGCCCUAACCUGCCAUCAGGCCUAUAAAUAAAUAAAUAGGCCUGAAACAAACCUAAACAAAAGUACAUGCCUUACAACCGUAUUUCAGUUGUAAAUCUGGUUGGUCUACGAGACAAAAGAUUUUUCAAUCUGUCAUUUGAUUGGUUGGUGUUAAUUAGAUUAUACUGUUGUUGUUGAUAUAUUUUAUAGUGAUCACAACUAUAAUCAGAUUGUUGUUGUCGUUGAGCAAAAUUUUAAUUUCUCCUGUUACAUUUUGAUUGGAUACUAAAUAUAAACUUUGUUGUGGGUAGAAAGUGAUUGGAUUAAGAUUUGUGUCAGGUUAUCCGUAUAAUACAGCCCAAUCUCAGGUUAGACCAGCCCGGGCUUAGCGACCCUCAUACCACAUCAAGUUAUAUGCAUGAGGGAAAGUAGGUUGUUUCAACUAUUAAUUUCACUUGCAAUUGUUACUUAUAUCCCAUGACAUUUUGGUUUCCAAUUACUUUAAUAUACUGUAUACAUAUAC
Molecule: long non-coding RNA, 4623 nt
Filed under: Paramuricea clavata
Lineage: Eukaryota; Metazoa; Cnidaria; Anthozoa; Malacalcyonacea; Plexauridae
Source: RNAcentral